This 845-nucleotide ribosomal RNA is filed under the name Rhizobium gallicum. RNAcentral's name for it is "bacterial SSU rRNA". It matches the Rfam family "Bacterial small subunit ribosomal RNA". The record is from RNAcentral. Lineage: Bacteria; Pseudomonadati; Pseudomonadota; Alphaproteobacteria; Hyphomicrobiales; Rhizobiaceae.
UUCCGAAUUUGGUCGACAACAGAAGUUUGAUCCUGGCUCAGACGAACGCUGGCGGGCAGGCUUAACACAUGCAAGUCGAACGCCCCGCAAGGGGAGUGGCAGACGGGUGAGUAACGCGUGGGAACGUACCCUUUACUACGGAAUAACUCAGGGAAACUUGUGCUAAUACCGUAUGUGCCCUUCGGGGGAAAGAUUUAUCGGUAAAGGAUCGGCCCGCGUUGGAUUAGCUAGUUGGUGGGGUAAAGGCCUACCAAGGCGACGAUCCAUAGCUGGUCUGAGAGGAUGAUCAGCCACAUUGGGACUGAGACACGGCCCAAACUCCUACGGGAGGCAGCAGUGGGGAAUAUUGGACAAUGGGCGCAAGCCUGAUCCAGCCAUGCCGCGUGAGUGAUGAAGGCCCUAGGGUUGUAAAGCUCUUUCACCGGUGAAGAUAAUGACGGUAACCGGAGAAGAAGCCCCGGCUAACUUCGUGCCAGCAGCCGCGGUAAUACGAAGGGGGCUAGCGUUGUUCGGAAUUACUGGGCGUAAAGCGCACGUAGGCGGGUAUUUAAGUCAGGGGUGAAAUCCCAGAGCUCAACUCUGGAACUGCCUUUGAUACUGGGUACCUAGAGUAUGGAAGAGGUAAGUGGAAUUCCGAGUGUAGAGGUGAAAUUCGUAGAUAUUCGGAGGAACACCAGUGGCGAAGGCGGCUUACUGGUCCAUUACUGACGCUGAGGUGCGAAAGCGUGGGGAGCAAACGAAAUUAGAUACCCUGGUAGUCCACGCCGUAAACGAUGAAUGGUAGGAUUCCGGAAUCCUAGAUAAAGGAGGGCAGCUUACGCCUGGAUCAUAAGCUAAUGGACGCA